GGUGGCUCAGUGGUAGAGUGCCUGCCUUGCGUGCAUGAGGCCCUGGGUUCAACCCUCAGUACCA
RNAcentral lists this transfer RNA (64 nucleotides) under Dipodomys ordii (Ord's kangaroo rat). It matches the Rfam family "tRNA". From Rfam's summary of the family: Transfer RNA (tRNA) molecules are approximately 80 nucleotides in length. Their secondary structure includes four short double-helical elements and three loops (D, anti-codon, and T loops). The record is from Rfam by way of RNAcentral. Lineage: Eukaryota; Metazoa; Chordata; Mammalia; Rodentia; Heteromyidae.